Molecule: long non-coding RNA, 2342 nt
Organism: Leucoraja erinaceus (little skate)
Lineage: Eukaryota; Metazoa; Chordata; Chondrichthyes; Rajiformes; Rajidae
Exons: 2
Source: RefSeq, a predicted model, not a curated record
GAAAGAGAGAGAGGGAGAGAGGAAAGAGAGAGAGGGAGAGAGGAAAGAGAGAGAGGGAGAGAGGAAAGAGAGAGAGGGAGAGAGAAAAGAGAGAGAGGGAGAGAGAAAGAGAGAGAGGGAGAGAGAGGAAAGAGAGAGAGAGAGAGAGGAAAGAGAGAGAGGGAGAGAGGAAAGAGAGAGAGGGAGAGAGGAAAGAGAGAGAGAGAGAGAGAGAGAGAGAGGGAGAGAGAGAGGAGAGAGAGAGAGAGAGAGAGAGAGAGAGAGAGAGAGAGAGAGAGAGAGAGAGAGAGAGAGAGAAACAGAAGUAGGAGACGACAGGAUGACAGAUUAUCCCUUGGGGCACCCAUAAACUGAGAGGGCUAAAAAAAUUAAAAUUAAAAUAAAUAAUAAAUAAAAAUGCUUCACCCUAUAUCCCUGAUGGAGAAGGAAAUGGAUUAGGGCUUUGGAGGAGGAGAAUGUGGGACGAUUAUUGGCCAUGAAAGAUUUGAAGGCACCAUUGGUAAAAGUAGUGGGAACCACUAAGUGUCAGAUAAAGAUGAUGUAAAUUGUUACAACCGGGCUGACAAAAGACUACAAACAUGGCCGCCGCUCACAAACUUACCGGCUACAGCGCCAUCUUCAGGUUGGAUGCCGUCAUGACCGAGGGUAUGCAGGCCCCUCAGCAAAUGUUACCCACUUAAGGUGAACCCCAAGGAACAAAGGGGAAUGAAAAGGUGGAGAGUUGAAAAUGGACAAGAAAAAGAAGGCAUGUGGACAUUAUAUUAUGAACUAUUGUGGUGGAAGUCAUUCUUCUUAAAGUCAAGCAGAAUUGAAGGAGGUGGUGGGAUUGUCAUUUAUUUCCAACCCCCGAUUCAGCAAACAGUUGGUUUCUGCGGUCAAUGUCAAUGAACAAGGCCCCUGGUUGAAAAGACUGAAAUAAGUGAUGAACUGACACAAGUGAGUCCUAUGAGGGAACCAAGCGGGGCCAGAGAAUUACAUGCCAAUAAUACAUGUCUUGGGGAACUUUUCCUCAAAGUCCUAUCAGGAGUGAAAUUAAUCUGGAGAUUAUAAGCCCUAACUGGACUGGGGUCCCCAAGAGAGAGAAAGGGAUUUAAGGAAGGAUGUCAAGAAAGGCCAGGAUGAGGUAGGUUUUUUUAAUUAGAUGGGAAAGGCAGAGUUGAAAGUUGAGGGGGAACUUCUUUACUCAGAGAGUGGUAGCUGUGUGGAAUGAGCUUCCAGUGAAGGUGGUGGUGGCAGGUUCGAUAUAUGGUUAUAUGGUAUACCCUUAGAAAGUAUUUGUUGAUGUGGACAAUUUGUUGGUUUGUUCCACAAGUGAAGAGAGAGAAAUACUUCAGAAUAUAAGACAGCAGAUGAUGACCUUGGGAAAGGCAGGAUAUAGUUCAGACUAGAUUGGGAAUUUUGAAAUUGUAUGGUGAAAUGGAAAAAGUACAUGUCAAAGAAGUUAAAUUAAAAUGCAGACAAAGCAGCUGAAACAGCAUCUGGAAGAGAUGUCCAGGAAUUAAAAACCAAGGAGCUGUUGGCACAGAGUCCCCAUCUCGACUUGCCAAUCCAUUCUGUGAAAGCAGAGAACUGGGAUCUUGUAAAAUCAUGGAAGGAAGAAAAGCUGCAACCAAAGUGGACUGGACCCUACCUUGCGUUAUUAAUCACCGAGACAGCAGUACGAACAAAAGAAAAAGGGUGGACACACGCAAACCGAUUUAAGGGUCCUGUGGAGGCCCCACCGGACAAUAUCAGCCCGUAGACUGUGCGUGAAGGGAAGGAACCAUUGACUUUGUGCCUAUUCGGAUGUUGUAUUAUUCCCUGCGCUGGCCUUCAGAACACAGUAUGACUAGCGAGAGGAGGAUAGGGAGGCGAAGAAUCUGCUGCUAGCACUAGAAAAGGAAGAUAUAGUAUAAUUCAAAAGAUGCGUAGCAAAAAGAAAAAUGGUGGAUUGUGAGAGAAGGGUUAAUAGGGAUGAUUGAAUUAUACUAGAACUCUGAAAAAUAUAACUUAGAAAGAAAUGAGCUUAUCCGCAGAAGCCAGACUGCUGGUAAAGUAACAAUAUACAGAACAGAGAGAAAUUCUAGAUAAAAAGUAGCAAACAGAUAACAACUUCAGCAGAAGGCCUUGGGAGUCUUGACGUCAGGAAAUGGUCCGAGACAUUCCUGGACUUUCUCGUGGGAACGUGGGCUUUAUGUUAUGAUUGGACGAAACUCGAUGGGGAGACCUGAGGUAGUGACCACAGUGAAGAAGGGUAUAAAGAUAGAAAGCAUCUCCAUUUUCUUUGUGCCUCCAGGGGACAUCAGAGGAGAGACACCUAUUCUGCAGAAUAUGAAAUUAAUAAAAACACUUCUUUGUCUGAA